GGAUGUGAGGGAGAUCUGGCUGUGACAUCGGUCGCCCCGUUGCUCGCCAGGGUUGAUGUGGCUGAUCUGGCUGGCUAGGUGGCUGUGCCCUUCCUCCCUCAAUGCCCCACGUUCAUCCCUCCAAAAGCUGCAUGCUCCAAGAGGACAACAGACCCCGUUGGAGGAGGACCGGUCCUCGGUCCAGGGUAUAUGAGUAGCUAUGCUCCCCUACUAGAACCUCCAAACAAGCUCUCAAGGAAAAGAGGGACGGGGUCAAUGGAUGUAAAAUUGCUAAGAGGGGACAUCACAGGUGGGAAAAUUCUU
Molecule: small nuclear RNA, 303 nt
Filed under: Chinchilla lanigera (long-tailed chinchilla)
Lineage: Eukaryota; Metazoa; Chordata; Mammalia; Rodentia; Chinchillidae
Description: 7SK RNA (ENSCLAG00000021555.1)
Rfam family: 7SK RNA
About the family: 7SK was discovered as an abundant small nuclear RNA in the mid-70s but a possible function has only recently been suggested. Two independent studies have found that 7SK RNA binds the CDK9/cyclin T complex (known as elongation factor P-TEFb). P-TEFb activates transcription by phosphorylating the C-terminal domain of RNA polymerase II.
Source: RNAcentral